AGAGUUUGAUCCUGGCUCAGGACGAACGCUGGCGGCGUGCCUAAUACAUGCAAGUCGAGCGAGCUUGCCUAGAUGAUUUUAGUGCUUGCACUAAAUGAAACUAGAUACAAGCGAGCGGCGGACGGGUGAGUAACACGUGGGUAACCUGCCCAAGAGACUGGGAUAACACCUGGAAACAGAUGCUAAUACCGGAUAACAACACUAGACGCAUGUCUAGAGUUUGAAAGAUGGUUCUGCUAUCACUCUUGGAUGGACCUGCGGUGCAUUAGCUAGUUGGUAAGGUAACGGCUUACCAAGGCAAUGAUGCAUAGCCGAGUUGAGAGACUGAUCGGCCACAUUGGGACUGAGACACGGCCCAAACUCCUACGGGAGGCAGCAGUAGGGAAUCUUCCACAAUGGACGAAAGUCUGAUGGAGCAACGCCGCGUGAGUGAAGAAGGGUUUCGGCUCGUAAAGCUCUGUUGGUAGUGAAGAAAGAUAGAGGUAGUAACUGGCCUUUAUUUGACGGUAAUUACUUAGAAAGUCACGGCUAACUACGUGCCAGCAGCCGCGGUAAUACGUAGGUGGCAAGCGUUGUCCGGAUUUAUUGGGCGUAAAGCGAGUGCAGGCGGUUCAAUAAGUCUGAUGUGAAAGCCUUCGGCUCAACCGGAGAAUUGCAUCAGAAACUGUUGAACUUGAGUGCAGAAGAGGAGAGUGGAACUCCAUGUGUAGCGGUGGAAUGCGUAGAUAUAUGGAAGAACACCAGUGGCGAAGGCGGCUCUCUGGUCUGCAACUGACGCUGAGGCUCGAAAGCAUGGGUAGCGAACAGGAUUAGAUACCCUGGUAGUCCAUGCCGUAAACGAUG
This 843-nucleotide ribosomal RNA is filed under the name uncultured bacterium. RNAcentral's name for it is "bacterial SSU rRNA". It matches the Rfam family "Bacterial small subunit ribosomal RNA", at positions 8 to 811 of the family's 1533-position model. The record is from RNAcentral.